This is an RNA transcript of Juglans microcarpa x Juglans regia, 4907 nucleotides long. It is a transcript of the gene named disease resistance protein RPV1-like, with no coding region annotated. The transcript is spliced from 6 exons. NCBI's taxonomy places the organism in Eukaryota, Viridiplantae, Streptophyta, Magnoliopsida, Fagales, Juglandaceae. The record is from RefSeq and is a predicted model, not a curated record.
ACCGACAGGAGGACGAACCUUGGCACCAUUAUAUCUACUAUUGUGUACUGCCUUAAAACAUUUCUGCAUAGCCUCAUGAUCCCUUUGUACAGAACUGGUCAUCUGGAGAUCGAGCACUGCAAAAAGAGAUGGAAGACGACCACGCCACUUCCGUUUCAUUGGCUCCCGCUUUUAGGCACCGGUGUGACGUGUUCCUGAGCUUCAUAGGCGAAGAACCCCGCCCUAGCUUUACUUACAACCUCUGCGACUCGCUCGAGAAACACCGCGUCCGAGUCUUCUUCCAAGACCACGGGCAGCAGGGUGGGGAAGAGAUCUCGCCGUCUCUGCUCGAGGCCAUCGAGGACUCGGCUGCUUCCAUCGCCAUCUUCUCCCCGAACUACGCGUCGUCCUCUCAGCGCCUAGGGGAGCUUUCGAAGAUAUGCGAGUGUAGGAGGCGCCUUCUCCCCGUGUUCUACCGAGUCACGCCGUCGGACGUACGGCACCAGCGUGGACCGUUCGAACAACAUAUUAGACACCAUGAAGAGAGGUUUGGAAUGACCACGGUUACUAAGUGGAGGACAGCCAUGAAAAAGGCUGGUGGAAUCUCUGGUUGGGUUUUCGACGACAGUGGCGGCGAUGAGGUGCAAGCGCAGUUGAUUGAAUCUUUAGUCCAGAGGGUGUUGUCUGAACUGGCCAUUACUCCAGUGGAUGUUGCUGCAUAUACAGUUGGACUUGAUUCUCGGAUUAAAAAAUUGAUGAGUGGGUUGGAUUUAAAUUCCAAAGGCAUUCGAGUUCUUGUAUUAUAUGGGAUGGGUGGGGUUGGAAAGACAACCCUUGCCAAGGCUCUUUGUAACAAACUUGUUGCCCACUUUGACUGCCUCAGUUUCAUUUCCAAAGUAAGAGAAAACUCUGCGAACGAUGCUGAUUUAGUAUCCCUACAGAACAAACUUAUCCGCGACCUUUCUUCGGGUAAGUCAACUGUAUAUUCUACCCCUGCAAUCAAGGAAGUACUUCAAGAGAAGCGAGUUCUUGUUGUUUUGGAUGAUGUUGACAUGAUAAGUAAGUUUGGUGCAUUAAUUGGGAGAAUAGAAUGGUUUCAUGAAGGAAGUAGAAUCGUGGUAACCACAAGAGACAGAGAAGUUUUACCUGAACAUCUUGUGAAUGAGUUUUACGAGGUCACAGAAUUGAGAGACUCUGAAGCCUUAGAGCUUUUUAGCUACCAUUCACAAAGGAGAAAAAGACCCACAGAAAAAUAUUUAAGUCUGUCCAAGCAAAUCGUGUCCCUUACAGGGGGUCUACCAUUAGCUUUGGAAGUAUUUGGUUCGUUCUUGUUCGAUAAGAGGAGAGUAGAGGAAUGGGAAGUUGCUCUACAAAAGUUGAAAGAGAUUCGUCCCCGCCAUCUUCAGGAUGUUUUGAAGAUAAGUUUUGAUGGGCUAGAUUCACAAGAGAAGUGCAUAUUCCUUGAUAUUGCAUGUUUAUUCAUUAAAAUGAAAAUGAAGAGAAAGGAUGUUAUUGACGUGUUAAAAGGUUGCGGAUUUGGGGCCGAGAUAGCAGUCAGAGAACUCAUAGCAAAAUCACUCAUCAAGGUCACCCAGGAAAACGCCUUGUGGAUGCAUGAUCAAGUUAGAGACAUGGGAAAACAAAUUGUUCUAGAGGAUAGCCCUGUGAAUCCUGGCAUGCGAAGCAGACUGUGGGAUCGUGAUGAGAUCAUGACUAUCUUGAAGGAUGAGAAGGGAACAGGAUCUAUAGAAGGGAUCGUCCUAGACUUUCAAAGCAUGCCCCUUGUGCAGGAUAAAAGCGGUGACAGAACUGCUUGGGAAAAUUUUAAGAGGUCGCCCAGUUUCACCUCUGCAUUGACAUACAUGGAAGAAAGGUAUAAGAAGUUUCUUGAAACUAAAGCAGAAAGAGAGAGGGAGAUAAUACUACGCACGAAGUCCUUUGAAUCUAUGGUUAACCUAAGACUUCUGCAAAUCAAUUAUACAAGAAUGGUAGGAAAGUAUAAAUAUCUUCCUGCAGAACUGAAGUGGCUACAGUGGAAAGGGUGUCCUUUCAAAAGUAUUCCUUCUGAUUUUUCUCCACGGGAACUUGCUGUCCUUGACCUCUCAGACAGCAAAAUUGAACAAGUGUGGGGCUCGUAUAGUAAUAAGGUUGCUGAGAAGUUGAUGGUCAUGAAUUUCCACGGUUGCCAUAAUCUUGCUGCUAUUCCUGAUUUAUCUGGCCAUCAAACAUUGGAAAAGCUUGAUCUUGAGCAUUGCCAGAGUCUAACUAAUAUUCAUGAAUCAAUAGGAAAUGUGAGUACAUUACUUCAUUUAAACCUAAGAUAUUGUUCGAACCUUACUGAGUUUCCUGCUGAAGUCUCUGGACUGAAAAAAUUAGAGACUUUCAUCCUCUCUGAUUGUUCAAAAUUGAAACAAUUACCAAUGGACAUAGGCAGCAUGAGAUCUCUAAAAGAACUUCUCGCUGAUGACACCGCUAUAGCAGAGCUACCUGAAUCCAUUUCUUGCCUUGCUAAACUCGAAAACCUUAGUCUAAAAGGUUGUCGGUUCUUAAGAAGACUACCCAACUGCAUUGGAAAGCUUUCUUCCCUGAAAGAACUCUCACUUAAUCAUUCUGCAGUAGAAGAAAUACCCGAGUCUGUUGGAGAUUUAUUAAACCUUGAGAAACUAGGUUUAACGGGUUGUAAAUCAGUCACUUCAAUUCCAGAUUCUGUUGGCAAUCUCAUAUCGUUGUCAGAACUUCUCCUUAAUGGUUGUGCAAUCCAUAAACUGCCUGAUUCCAUUGGUUCAUUGUCAUAUUUGAAGGACUUAUUAGUUGGAAACUGUCGGUUUCUGAGUAUAUUGCCUGAUUCAAUUGAAGGACUGGCUUCUAUGGUUGAACUUCAAUUGGAUAAGACAUCAAUAAAAAAUUUGCCAGAUCAGAUAGGUGCCUUGAAAAUGCUAAGGAAGCUUGAGAUGAGUAACUGCAAAGAUCUUAUAUCUUUACCAAAAUCACUGGGAAACAUGUUGGCCCUUACUACUUUGAACAUAUACAAUGCCAACAUUUCUGAAUUGCCAGUAUCCAUAGGGAUGCUGGAAAAUCUUGUUUCAUUAAGAUUGACUAAAUGCACCCAGCUCCAUGAACUUCCUGCUUCAAUAGGAAAUUUGAAGUCUUUGCACUCCUUGAUGAUGGCAGAAACUGCUGUGACAGAACUACCUGAAAGCUUUGGGAUGCUCUCAAGUUUAAAGAGAUUAGAAAUGGGCAAGGACCCUCGUCAGGAGUUAGCUAGAAACAGAAUUCCUGAGGAGCUUGUAACUGCAACUGCACAAGGGGAACCUAAUCCAGUCAGACUUCCGGCUUCUUUUUCCAAUUUAUGCUCACUACAAGAACUAGAUGCUCGCGCUUGGAAGCUACGUGGUAGAAUCCCUGAUGAUUUUGAAAAGUUGUCGUCAUUGCAGAAUUUGAAUCUAGGCCACAAUGAUUUCUUCAGCCUUCCAUCGAGCUUAAGGGGCCUCUCGCUACUCAAAGAGCUUUUAUUGCCCGACUGCAAAGAGCUCACGUCUCUUCCUCCACUUCCCUCGAGCUUGGUGACGGUGAAUGUUGCAGACUGUACAGCAUUAGAAACGGUGUCUGAUCUUUCCAACCUGGAAAGCUUGUGGGAGCUGAACCUUACGAACUGUGACAAGGUGGUGGAUAUUCCGGGCCUUGAAGGCUUGAAGUCCUUGAGAAGGUUGUUCAUGACUGGUUGCAGAACAUGCUCGUCCGCAGUAAGAAAAAGGCUUUCUAAGGUUUGUUUGAGGAAUUUACGCUCUCUGAGUAUGCCGGGAAGCAAAAUUCCAGAUUGGUUUUCUGGAGAGGUGGUUACAUUUUCAGAACGCAAGAACCGUGCGAUCAAAGGUGUGAUAAUAGGUGUUGUUGUCUCUGUCAACAAUCAAAUACAAGAUGAGUUAAGAGAUCGACUCCCUUUGAUAGCAGGUAUACGAGCACAUAUUACCAAACUGAAUCAACCUAUAUUCAGUACAAUGCUGGAGUUAAAGGGAAUCCCAAAGGUGGACGAAGAUCAUCUUUACUUGUGUCGUUUUCACGAUUAUCGCCCUUUAGUAACUCAGUUGAAGGAUGGUUAUAAGAUACAAGUGACACAGCAAGACCCGCCAUACAUCAAGGGGGUUGAGAUGAAAAAGUGUGGGAUUUAUUUGAUUUUUGAAGGUGAGGAUGAUUAUGAAGGAGAUGAGGAAUCAUUGCGUGAAAGCCAACUAUCCAUUUCAGAAAAGCUAGCAAAGUUUUUCAGCUCUCUUGGAGAGGAAGAUCACGUCUCUGAAUCUGGUCGUGAAGUGGAAAGCCAAGCGCAAGAGAUUGAGGAACAAGAAGAAAGAGAAAGAAAGCCCUUUUGGUUUGGCUUUACGCGGCUUGUUCGAGGAUGCUUUUGUUUUUAAGAAGAAGCAGCAGCUGCUGCAGCUACUUUGUAGUCUUCAUUUUCCCAGCGUCUGCAUUGUUUGAUGAGAAUGUUAUAAAUUAGAAAAAAAACAGAGGGAGGGAGGGAGAAACAAACCGUAGAAAUUACUGCUCAUAAAAUAAGGUUCGUCUGUCUUUGGAAGCAUCUCCUCUGUGGCAUAGUUGCAAUCGAAAAUGGAGUCUGCUGGACAGGACUGAACCACAUUUUCUCCAAUUUUUCAAAGUCCCAAGAAUGGUCAAGGUCAAGCCGCUUCACACUGGGUUGCACAUCCAUAACUAAUAAAACCAGCUUUCCUUUUCUUUUCCCAAUGGAACAAACUCAUGGGUUUGAUCCAGACUCCAAAAUUGGCGUUGAGGAUAGGAUUUCACGAGUUCCUUCUAAGAGAAGGAAGUUUGUCUUCAUGGCACGCCAUGCAGCAGGCCGGCACUUCUUUUCUGCAUUGGCAGGAGUUCUAGCGUGGACAGGUACAUUUUGGGGAGAUUUUUAACUAUGAAUAAAA